UUGUUGCAUAAAAUCCAAGUAAAGUUUCUAAAAGUUUGUGGUUGUGACGUGUCUGUGAUGCUCUCUGUUCAGAUCUGUUUCUCUGUGAAUAAACCAUUACAAAUUAUUUAAAAUCAGUUUUAGUCUCUUUUCUGUGAGAUUAAAUGAAAACAACAUCAACAUAAAUACCAACUGUAUGUGUUUUAUAAGGCAGUUAAAAACAUUUCUACAAUGGUUGCACAUAAUUACGCCCCAGUCUAAACAAAAACAGAUUCUGUCUGGAACCUCCAGAUGAUGCCACCAGGGGGCGCAUUGCUCCACCACCAUGCCGCUGCUCUGCUUACAGGCUGACCUCCGUCACUCAGGCAGCGUCCGGAGCGGCUCGUCCAGCGAGGCCACGCCCACCUGACCGCCCGCCAUCACGCCCAGGAACUGCGUCCGCCUCUGUGUCUCGUUCCCAGACAGCUGGACGUCUCCCUGCAAGGACAGGGUCGCCGUUCAGACGUCCACACCAACAAAGGCUUACAGAACCAGAACCAGAACCAGCAGGAAUCAUGUUGAGCUUAAAGAGCUGCUGAUGACUGACGACAAACCAGAUGGACGCAGCGGUCUUCCGAUAGUAAACUCAUGACAAUGAGUCCAAUCCUCCAUGACAGAUUAAAUUACUCUCUGCUGCUGUCCAUGCAGGAACAAACCCGGCUCCGUUCAGCCUCAGAUUAUUGUUAGAAAUCAGAUAAUCCAGCAGAAAUCAUACCUGGCGUGGAACCGGACUCCGCCUCUAAUCUGACCAGCAGGAACAGUCGGCCCUUUGAGAGGCUUCGCACAGAGCGACCAUUGUGCCCCGGUCGGGUCGCUGCUGAAAGCGGAUCCGCCCGGAUCGGAUCGCCGAUUCAGCCUGGAGGCCACGGAGGGAGAGCUGCAGUUGCCUGAGCCCGACAGAACCGAACCGAACUGCUGCUGAGCCCAACAGAACCAAACUGAACCGAACCGCUGCUGAGCCCGACAGAACCGAACCGAACUACUGCUGAGGCUGACAGAACCGAACCAAACCGAACUGCUGCUGAGCCCGACAGAACCAAACUGAACCGAACCGCUGCUGAGCCCAACAGAACCGAACCGAACCGCUGCUGAGCCCAUUCACCUGGUUCUGCGGUCCGCUGAGCAGGGAGCCCACGUGGUCGUAGUCGGAGCGCUCCAUGGUCUGCAGGAAGCAGCGCUGCUGGUCUGCAGGUCGGUAGCAGAUCAGGCCCUGCAGCAACAGACUCAUCAUCAUCUUCUUCAUCAUCAUCUUCAUCUCCAAAUGACUGAAUAUUCCUGAUUAAUCCUGAUUAAUCGGUUAUUGAAACAAUAGACUGAUUUCUGCUCAGGUCCGUCUUCUGGAUCUCUUUGCGGUUUUACCCGUUAAGAAAAGGAAAUAAAAUAAAAAAUGGUUCAACUAAUUCAGUAAUUGAUUGAUCAUUAACUGGAGUAUAAAAUUUCUCAAAUAAAAACCUUUUCAGUCUGUAAAUCUGUUCUACCAGAACUUUUAUAGUUCAGUUUCAGCUUCACAUUCUGGAAAUAAAUCUAUUAAACACC
Molecule: long non-coding RNA, 1554 nt
Organism: Xiphophorus hellerii (green swordtail)
Lineage: Eukaryota; Metazoa; Chordata; Actinopteri; Cyprinodontiformes; Poeciliidae
Exons: 2
Source: RefSeq, a predicted model, not a curated record